Small nuclear RNA from Gorilla gorilla gorilla (western lowland gorilla), 107 nucleotides. The record is from Ensembl. Lineage: Eukaryota; Metazoa; Chordata; Mammalia; Primates; Hominidae.
AUGCUCAUUUCAGCAGCACAUGUACUAAAAUUGGAACAAUACAGAGAAGAUUCACGUGGUUCCUAUGCAAGGAUGAGAUACAGAUUUAUGAAGCAUCCCAUAUACAA